This is a long non-coding RNA of Neofelis nebulosa (Clouded leopard), 5048 nucleotides long. RefSeq lists it as uncharacterized. The record is from RefSeq and is a predicted model, not a curated record. The transcript has 2 exons. Lineage: Eukaryota; Metazoa; Chordata; Mammalia; Carnivora; Felidae.
AUCAGGACCUGUCAUAGAAGAGGAAGGAAUUCAGCUGUGGGAUAGGGGAGAGAGCACUCUAUUUGGGGACAGAGGAUGUAGGUACAAAUCCCAGUUUUGCCACUUACUAGUUUGGUGGCCUUCAGUCCCUGAAGUAACUGCCCAACUUUUGGCUCACAUGUUUUGUCAGGGUUAGGUGGUUCUUGUGAAUGACCUACAAAUUGUGAAGUGUAACAUAAAAUGGAAGAACUGAGAAAAAAAAAUUUGUCCACAAUGGCCAUUAUUGGACAGGGUGACUUAGUAAUGGAAUGGAGCUUCCUCCGUGGUCUCCAGCCUAAGUGUUUGGAACUGUGUAAGAGUUUUAUCAUUGUAGCUUCAGAUCCCAUUGUUCCCUGACAGGCGCAGCCUGAAAAUCACUCGUCCACUUGGCUCGUAGCAGCCCUCAAGUUGCUCAGCGGGACUUUAAAUCAGAUACACAUGAGCUGUUUUUGUCGUCGGUGACCUCAAAAGCAAGAAGCAGCUUUAAUGAAUCUUACAGCAAAGGCCUAAAGCCAAAAAAUUAGAAAGUAUGAAAAAUUGUCAAAUACAUCUUUAGUACUUUUGUAUCUUAAAUUAUAUCCAGGCACAUAGAGAUGUAUGUAUAUUUUUGCUCUAGAUAUAUAUGCAUGUAUAUUUUUGCCUGGAUUUAUGUUGUUGUGUGUGUAUCCAUGCAAAUCCACAUGAAAGACCCUGUGAGUGGAAAUAUACCAUUCGUUUUUGAAGUGUUUUCCAUUUAAAACCCACAAUAAAAUGGAAAUCAGGGUAAAAUACAUAGCUAUUUUUUUGGAGACAGGAACGGAAUAAUAUUUCUAAUGACUCACCGAACGGAGUAUGCAUUCAUAACAUGGUAUUUAUUCACGUAUUGAUGCACACAAAGUCCACUCGACAAAUAUUCAUUAAAGGACCUAAGAUGUUUAUAUGUAUUGCUCUACCCUGCAUUUUUAUUAAGGUUAUUUGCAUGUAUCACUACGAAUCUCCACAAUCUGUGUCUUGGUAAAAUAUGACAAGCCCUCUUGCAUUAAACUAAGGCAAAGGCCAGGAUGCGAAGAUAAUCUAAACAUUUAAACUUAUGCAAUCUUCCAGCAUAAUCCCAAAGACAACUUCAACUGGAGCAUUCUGCCCAUUUAAUCAGGUGUUAAAUGUUACUGUCCUUGAAUAUUUUGUUGCUUUGAUGGUUUUAAGAAUUCCUCAAUUCUAACUAUAUUACCAAUAGCGUGUGACUCGUGUGUUGAAAUGCUGUUCAUUCUAGUUAUUUCACACAUAUUCUUUAGGAGACUGGAACAAUAAUUGCUGAAAACCGAUUGCAUCUUAGGGGUGUUGAAUCUUGGAAGUUGCUUCUGGAUCCAUAGCUGAGUGGAAAAGACAUCUGAGUGAGAAAUCAGAUCUUCCCACAGACUUCCAUUUAUACCUACAAUGACAGUAAUAGAUGGACCAGGCCCUGUGCUAAGGAUUUUACAUCUACUUUACUUAAUCUUUCCACCAGCUCUAUAAAGUGUGGGUAUUGUUAUUCCAGGGUUAUCGAUGAAGAAGCUGGGCUUUUGGGGAGGUUCGGUAAGGAGGCCUGGGUUCCAUCCCAAGUCACUUCUGAUUCCAAGACUGCUAUGCUGUUUUGAAACAGCUGAUUUGCUACACAAGAAGUUGAUUGAAAUCAUUUUAGACUAGUCUCCUGGAGCCACGCUUCUUGCCUUUGCGAUGGAUGGUGCUAUAUCAAAAGGAGUUAACACACAGAUUGCAGAUACAAAGGUAGAAAUAAGAAAAUGAUAGCAAUCCUUGAGUAAUAAUGGAUUUCUUGUUGUUGCUUUUGUCAUAAGUUUUUAAAUAGCUAAUGCUUACCUGUAGUAGGAAAGAACUCAGAUAGCCCGAGAGCAUAUACAGUGCAAAUCAUGGCUCCCUUCUGCUCUGGCCGCCCGUUCUCCCACGAAGAGGCAACCCCUGUGUCCAAUUUCCAGUUAUUCUUCCAGAGAGAGAGUUCACAUGAAUUGACUUUUGGGGGAAAAAAAAGUAACAUUUGAGCAUCCUGUCUACAGAACCCAACCGGAAGCAGCCAGGUCUGGCCACUGCUUGACAUCUGAGUGGGGCCAAGCGGGAGAGAGUGGAAAUGGAUGUACAAGAGAUGUUGUGCAGUGGAAAUGCAGCCAGGCCAUCGCAUUAGCCCUCUCCGCCCAGGAGUCCUUAACCCCUCCAAGCACGUUUGCCCCAUUGUAUAGAUGAAGAAACUGGUUCUUUGAGUCCCCCGACUAGCUGUACGUGAGAGCAACACUCCCACGCAGGGCUCUGCCUCUCAUCUUUCCAUCCAAGGCAGUGCUGGCGACCGCUGGGUUUGAGAGUGCUCUCGAGAAUUGGACAGUCAAAGUGCUCUAGAACUGACUAGAGUUUCUGCCGGUCAGCCGGGUAGCAAGCUGCAGAAAGCCCAAAGGCAAUAGCGGAUUUUUUUUUUUCCUAACUUUUAGAACACAUUGUUAAAUUUUACAAUAGGUUCCGAUUUACAAAAGCUUGUGAAGAUAGUACAGAGAGUUCCUAUAUAUCUCACACCCAGUUUCCCAUAUCAUCAGUGGCUGUCCUCACUCACUGUAAGGUUACUCUUUACUCCCCCUUUUCAGACUUUCCCCCUUUGGAAGGAAAACACUGUGUGUGGCCCCCACUUAAGGAGCGGGGAGUCCUGUUCCACUCCCGCAAGAGUGGGGUAUCUUCAUAAAUUACUUGGAAUACUUCUGCAUGAGAUUUGUCUCUACCCCCGUUUGUGUAUGUAUUUAAUCAGUCAUUUAUUUAUGUAAGUAUGGAUUCGUGGAUGUUUUUUUAACUUAUUUUUUUAAGUUUAUUUGUUUGUUUGGAGGGAGACUGAGACAGCGCUAGUGGGGACAGGCAGAGAAAGAGGGAGACAGAAUCCCAGGCAAGCUUUGUGCUGCCAGUGCAGAGCCUGAUGCAGGGCUUGAACUCAAGAAACCGCGAGAUCACGACCUGAGCCGAAACCAAGAGCCAGACGCUGAACCGACUGGACCGCCCAGGUGCCCCUCGUGGAUACUUAUUUUAUACUUUGGAUUAUAAUGCAACACCAUUUUAUUGUUCAGAUUGGCUCAGCUUUGGUCAUUGGGAGCUUUGUAAAUGACCCCUGUGUCCCUUGUCCCUCUGAUAUAACCUCAUCAUGGAGUUUUAUUUUUUGUUUUGAGUACUUUUUUAGUGUCUGGGACUAUAGGAUGCAUUAGAUUCACCCUUAUAUUUUCUACUCCACUCUUAGGAUCAUUUCUGCCAAGAGCCCUGGUGGUUCCUUUUAUGGGAAAAUGGUGCUAGAAUCCACGAUCUGGGUGUCAGGUGUAGUAGCUCUUUGCAAACCAAAUGCUUAGUGGAAAAGAAAGUUUUUGCCAUUGUUUCAGGUAGUGAUGAACCGGGUUAUUGACAUAAUUUUUAUGUUAAUACUGCUGGAUCGAAAUUUUACCUGAGUGAGUUGAGUAGAAUUAUCACAAGAAUUUCUAAGUAAAAUUCUAAGAAGUAAUUAUUUUAUUACUCUUUUCUAUUACUUUAAAGAAAGCCGCCUGCCCAUGAUGGCACUUUAUCCUUGACCAGAACCUGAGGCAGAGAACUUCAAAACAUGCAUCUGCGUACCAUUUCAAUAAGAGCGGAAUUGUUACCGCCCAUCAAGCAACCAGGUCAGAAGAAUCACAAGAUCUGAUAGGCGAAUGCGUAAAAUGUGUGUUGAUUGUAAAAACAAAAGAAAACAAAACUCAUUUUCUAAGAAUUAACCAUAUGUUUUUUUCCCAGGGCCUACUUGUCCUCACCUAUUGUAUUUUAAUUUUCUUGCAGCUUAACUGUAAAGAAUAGUCUUCUAAAUCAGUGUAAAUAGAAAAACUUCGAUUUAAAUGGAUUGCAUGCAAUUGCAAUUAGUAGGCAGCAGAAGCACUAAUGAGGAAGAGAGCCAGGCAGGUGAAAAACUGAAGGCAAGGUAAAUGAAGCAGUCUCUGAUGAAUAAGCAAACGUUAACUCAGGGCACCGGAAAACAGAAUGAGUUGGAGAUGCCCAGGGAGCCCUCAAAUGAAAAUAGCUAGAAAGCCUCCAGAGGGACGGAGCUGAGUAUAGAGAUGGGCAGAUCAUAAGAGUGAGAUUCUGGGGAAGGGUUGCUCUUGCAUCUGAAGCCUGGCACAGAUUGCCAGGGAGCACGUGAGACGCCCAGUGUCUCCUUCAGAGUUCAGCGGAAGCCAUCAAGCCCAUGCUGGAAGAGCCUGGAAACACUAAUCUAGGACACAAUGGAGGGAAACUUGAGUGUAUGAAGGGUGUACCGUGUGCUGGGUGAACUAUGUCAUUUAAUUUUUAUACCCGCCCUUUCCCGUCUCAUGGCAUUUAAUUCUUACACCAACCCUCUGAAGGAGAGUAUUACUACAGUGUUACAGGUGGAGGAAAUGGGGCACAGAGCUGCUUGAGAAUAGCUUGCAAAUCACACAGCCACUAAUCGGAGGUAAACUCAGACCAGGGUGUAAAAAGUGGAAGUUUUCAUUUCAAGCAGUUUGGGGCAAUCAAGAUAGACUGAAACCAAUUCGGUGUUGCGUAGGUGCAGACUCUUAGCCCCUGGGGCGAUUAACGAUACUUUUGGGGGGGGGGUUCUGGGUUGAACUGGUUAAGAGAAAGGAGUUUAAAAUGGUGGCUGUGAUGUUCAGAUGGUUUAGAGCUGCUGAAAAAUGAGGGUUCUGGUAGGCUGCUCUAUCUGGAGAGCCUUAGAAUGGGCUGAAAACUCCUGGACAUAGCUGGUUAAGCAAGUGGGCUUGGGGAUUGGCUGAAGGGUGGGUUCUUUUAAUUAUCAUUUCACAUUCCCUUUGACCUUCUCAGGAUUCCUGUAGACGGGAGAGAGUGCUUUUUGGCUCUUCCGGGGAGAAUAAAUUUUAGUGAGGGCUAUUCUUCGAUUCUGGCCAACUGGUCGCUCCAAUGUACGUUAGGCAAUUUGUGAAUGAGAGAGGAGAAUCACGAAAACCGCUGUGAACUGCGAGGAUGUAAUAUGUUAAACAUGGUGUGUUUAUGUUUACAAAAUAAAUCUCAAGAGCAAA